Balaenoptera acutorostrata (minke whale) is the source of this 563-nucleotide long non-coding RNA. RefSeq lists it as uncharacterized. The record is from RefSeq and is a predicted model, not a curated record. The transcript has 3 exons. NCBI's taxonomy places the organism in Eukaryota, Metazoa, Chordata, Mammalia, Artiodactyla, Balaenopteridae.
CCAGCUCCAGAGGCCGCGCGGUGCGUCACAGAGGCCGCGGGAAGGUGCGUCUGGGGCUGAAACCGCCCGGCUCAACCGUCCCGGCGCCGGUACUGCAGGCUCCACCUCAGACUAGAUCUGCCUACUUCCAGGAAACACACCAGUGCCACUUCGAUCCAAACCAUCAUUGUUUCCUGCCGAGAUGAUUAAAACAGCUUACAAACUGGUCUCCCUACUUCCACCGACGCCUCCCUUCAGUCUGUUCUCACCCCAGGAACCAUGUGAUCUUUUGCAAAGCCAUUUCAACUCAUGAAUUAUUAAAGAAGCAAGAGGAAAUGGAAAGUGAAUAAGAAAAUUACUUGAAACGUCCCUGUGGAGUUGGACAAGCUUUCACGUAAUACCACAUAAUGGGCUUCCAGGGAUGGAGAGGGAGGAUAAAGGAUUCACUCUAAAAGUCACACACUCAUUUGGAAAAAAAUCUCAAUUUCAAGCAUACAUUAAGUUACAUACAUACAUUUUUUGUGUCUCUCCGAUUGACAAAGAUUAAAUAGUGUGAUUAUACCCAGUGCCGGUGAGGAUACAGG